AAAAACCUAACCCUAACCCUAGCCCUAGCCAAAAACCUAACCCUAACCCUAACCCUAGCCAAAAAGCUAACCCUAACCCUAACCCUAGCCCUUGCCAAAAACCUAACCCUAGCUGUCUCUCUAUCUCUCUAUAUCUGUAUGUCUGUAUGUCUGUCUCUCUGUCUGUCUGUGUCUGUCUCCCUAUCUGUCUGUCUCUGUGUCUGUCUCUCUGUCUCUUUCGCUCUGUCUGUCUCUGUCUGUCUGUCUCUUUGUCACUGUCUGUGACUCUGUCUGUCUAUCUCACUGUCUCUCUUUCUCUGUCUUCCUGUCUGUCUCUCUCUGUCACUGUCUCUCUGUCUCUCUUUCACUCUCAGUUUCUGUCUCUCUGUCUCUGUCUCUGUCUGUCUGUAUCUCUGACUCUGUCUGUCUCUGUCUCGCUAUCUGUCCUUCUGACUCUCUGUCUCUCUCAGACUGUCUGUCUCUCUGUCUCUUUGUCUGUCUCUGUCUGUCUCUGUCUCGCUGUCCCUUUGUCUGUCUCUCUGUCUCUGUCUCUCUGUCUCUGUCUCUGUCUGUCUCUAACUCUGUCUGUGUCUGUCUGUCUGACACUCUGUCUCUCUGUUUGUCUCUCUAUCUCUGUCUCUGUCUCUCUCUUGGACUGUCUCUCUGUCUGUCUCUCUGUGAAGUAAAGAUAAUUAGAAG
Long non-coding RNA from Mus spicilegus (steppe mouse), 678 nucleotides. NCBI's taxonomy places the organism in Eukaryota, Metazoa, Chordata, Mammalia, Rodentia, Muridae. The record is from Ensembl.